CAGCCGCCACGGUAAUACGAAGGGUGCAAGCGUUAAUCGGAAUUACUGGGCAUAAAGCGUGCGUAGGCGGUGAGUUAAGUCUGCUGUGAAAUCCCCGGGCUCAACCUGGGAAUGGCAGUGGAUACUGGCUCGCUAGAGUGUGUCAGAGGAUAGUGGAAUUUCCGGUGUAGCAGUGAAAUGCGUAGAGAUCGGGAGGAACAUCAGUGGCGAAGGCGGCCAUCUGGGACAACACUGACGCUGAGGCACGAAAGCGUGGGGAGCAAACAGGAUUAGAUACCCCCGUAGUCCCUGUCUCUUAUAC
RNAcentral lists this ribosomal RNA (301 nucleotides) under uncultured bacterium. RNAcentral describes it as "partial 16S ribosomal RNA". It matches the Rfam family "Bacterial small subunit ribosomal RNA", at positions 509 to 807 of the family's 1533-position model. The record is from RNAcentral.